Long non-coding RNA from Microcebus murinus (gray mouse lemur), 2339 nucleotides. Lineage: Eukaryota; Metazoa; Chordata; Mammalia; Primates; Cheirogaleidae. The record is from Ensembl.
UUAUAAUGUGUUGACAAGUUUUCUAACAGACUUUCUGAAAUAAUGCACAUAUAUUCACGUCGGCUAGAAACCCACCGUAUUUUUAGUAUUUUUAGAGUCGAGUAGAUCUAUACCCUAAUGCAGUGAGAGAGUGUAAAUCAUACAAGAUUUCAUAGUCCUUUCAGUAGUUUUCGGUAUGAAGUAUGAGCCGCGUGGCCUCCAGACGUAACCUUUUAGAAAAAAAGACAGUGCUUUUAUUUUAUGGUGUAAAGUGCUUUUAGCUCCAGGGCUCUGAACGUGAAUGUGGUCAACAAACAGCUCGAAGAGGGAGACUUAAUACACUCCCAGCCCUCGUGCCGAGGAUCGCCUGGCGCGGGGGACUCGGGCUGAGCUGGAGAAUGAAGGGUUAAAGGGUCUGUCUGGAUGGAAACUACAAGAUUAAAAUAAAAUAUUCACUGUCUGCCUUUAGGGGGAAACACCUUUAUAGACUUAAAGAUAAAUAAAUGAAUCAAUGACUGAGUGAUUGAAAACACAAUCAGCCCCACCUUGCUUUUUAAAUUCAUCCUUUUUCUUUCUUUUCUUUUCUUUUUCUUUUUUAUUUUCCUAAUCAGUCAACAGAUCAUAAAAUAGAGUCAUCUUCAUAAAAAUAAAGCCUAGGUUUUGGAUUCUGCACUUGGCAUAGGUUUUGCAUUUGGGGUUCUUGACAAUGGGAGUGCUAGGGUGUUAAGACAAAGGAAAAAUGAAUUUAAAAUAUUGGGGGUUGUACUUGAAGAAAAGGAUAGACUUCUUUUCCCUCCUCUACUACCGGUGUGACCCAGAGCCCAGAAGGCCCCUGGAGGGCAGUAUCUACUCCUCUGCAAAGGCACAGACUUCCCCCAAGGAGAUUCCUGGGAGAACCAUUAGUCUGGCAUCUUCUCCAGAAGCUUCCUGGGCCUUUAGCUGGCUGGAAGUCUGCUUCAUAUACCUGGAUGGACUCAUCCAAAGAAAAAGGAGAGAAAGGAAUGAAGGAAAAAGCUGCAUCUGCUCUAAGUACUCUCCUAGGCUGAGGUUUGCCUGUGAAAUGAAAUUUUCUCCAGAAACAGUUCUGUCUCUAAAAAGAAUGCAAAAGGAAUAUGAGAAGGGGAAGAAGAAAAAAAGGAGGAAAGCCUCUGAUGGAUUUCCAGGGGUUCAAAGCCUGAAAGACUGAUUUCCAUGGCAGCCUCGACCCCUAAAGUAAUGCCUGAGGAAUAUAUUUCCAAAGGCACACGCCUCGCAAAAAAAAAACACCAACAAAAUUCCUUGAGUGAGUCAAACUUCUGGAUCACCUAUUGCUGGAUUGAAUGAUUUUUUCAUCCUCCCUACCCCAAAGAAGAAUUUUGAGCAAUUCAAAUUAUAGGUAGUCCUGCUAAAAAGGGAAAAAUAAAUGUUCGUUUAAUAUGUUAAUCUGGUCUUUAGACCAAAAAAAAAAAAAAAAAGAUAUCCAUCUCUUCUACUUGCCCAUUACUGAUGUUAUCAACAUAUUCAUAGCUUUUCUUUCAGACACAAACUGCUAGGCAUGCUCCCUUUUUUGGUAACCACGUGCCUGAUAUCUCUCUAAUGUAGCCUAAUAACAAUUUUAGCAUUCAGAUGAAGCGAUUUCAUUCUGUGACUGCCUUUUCUAUUAGAUUUGAUUUUGAGAAGCCCCAGUGGGUGCCUUCGAGGCAGAGAUCUAUCUGUGAGGCUGCUACCGACUCAAUAGCAGCCUGGGCUAACCUUGACCUUUCCCGAGACCCCGCUCCAUCUGGUGCCAGCCUGCUUUCCACUCCGCCCCCCCUUCUUGCUUCAUAGUCAACAUUGAUCAAGGCAGAACGGAACGCCUCGUCUCCUGGAAGGGCUGGGCAGACUCAGGAGGACAGCACAUUUCAGUAUAUGGAAAUGAUCAAGCCUCUUAUGCAAUCAUAAAUCUACAUAGGAGUCUUGUGAUUUGAUAUUUCAUUCACCUCCAAAGAUUUUUUUUCUCCCUCCCAACAGGGAUUUAUAAGCUCUGUAAGAGCUCCCGGACAACGGCUUUCCCCAACACCUGGAAAUUAUCAAGCUUGCUGCUUGCUGAAUGAUGCUAACAGCUCUAACGCUGCAAAUUCAUUUUUAACAACUCACUGGCUUUUAUCUAGGAUUUGUGUGUGCGUGUGCGUGUGUGUGCGUGUGCACACGUGCCUUUCUUUAAGAAAAAUCUACCAAAGCAACGGAUGGUAUCAAAGAUACCAAAAUCAAAUCUGACUUGAAUAUCCCACAUCUCUACACCCAUCCCCAUUAUGUAGCUGUAAAUAAAUGUGUUUUUCUAUCUCUGUAUUCUGUCCCCUUUCUUAACCAUUAAGAGGGGAGAGAUAAAGAGGAAAGAGGAG